Molecule: ribosomal RNA, 396 nt
Filed under: uncultured bacterium
Lineage: Bacteria
Description: partial 16S ribosomal RNA
Rfam family: Bacterial small subunit ribosomal RNA
Source: RNAcentral
AAUCUUGCGCAAUGGGCGAAAGCCUGACGCAGCGACGCCGCGUGGGGGAAGAAGGCCCUUGGGUCGUAAACCCCUGUCCUGGGGGACGAUGAUGACGGUACCUAAGGAGGAAGCCCCGGCUAACUACGUGCCAGCAGCCGCGGUAAUACGUAGGGGGCAAGCGUUGUCCGGAAUUAUUGGGCGUAAAGGGUGCGUAGGCGGCCUUUUAAGUCAGGUGUGAAAGCCCACGGCUUAACCGUGGGAUUGCAUUUGAAACUGGAAGGCUUGAGUAUCGGAGAGGGUAGUGGAAUUCCCAGUGUAGCGGUGGAAUGCGUAGAUAUUGGGAGGAACACCAGUGGCGAAGGCGACUACCUGGACGAAAACUGACGCUGAGGCACGAAAGCUAGGGGAGCAAAC